UAGAAAGGUCGAAAUAAAACACAGUAUCUUUACUUAGGAAGCAAUUAUUAUCAACCUGUCAUCCAUGCAGCACCGAGCUUUACAUCAGCAAUUCCUGUUCUGGUGGGCUUUUAUGAUUUUUUAUCAUUCAUUAAUCACAAACACAUUGUUCUGAUUUAUUCUGCACAGGAAUGAAAUUGUAGGUGGGAAGGAGGGAAACUUCUGCUCUGAAGUACAGCGUUUCCCCCUUUUAUUCCUCUCAGGUGAUCUGUCUUAUUCCAAGUCUCUGGACUUCUGAAGUGCUUGAAUCCAGCCAUCGUCGAGAACAGUUCUACAAUAUGGGCAAAUGUGAGCUUGGUUAUAUCUUCACAGCCACAAAGAAUUAUCUUGUCGUGUAGGCACACCUACUGCAGAGCAGAUGACUUUCCCUUUGUCACUUUGAAUCACUUGCUCUUUCAAAAGGUAAGGACAUCACAGUCCAGAACUCUUAGCCAUUUGCAGCCAAUGGUGUUGACCUACCUUGUCUUUGCAAGCACACCCUGGUCACCAAGUUGAAAAAUACCGUAAGGCAAAAUAAA
RNAcentral lists this long non-coding RNA (557 nucleotides) under Numida meleagris (helmeted guineafowl). RNAcentral's name for it is "lncRNA (ENSNMEG00000014645.1)". The record is from RNAcentral. Lineage: Eukaryota; Metazoa; Chordata; Aves; Galliformes; Numididae.